UACGGAGGGUGCAAGCGUUAUCCGGAUUUACUGGGUUUAAAGGGUGCGUAGGUGGGUCUGUAAGUCAGUGGUGAAAUCUCCGAGCUUAACUCGGAAACUGCCAUUGAUACUAUAGGUCUUGAAUUAUCUGGAGGUAAGCGGAAUAUGUCAUGUAGCGGUGAAAUGCUUAGAUAUGACAUAGAACACCAAUUGCGAAGGCAGCUUACUACGGAUCGAUUGACACUGAGGCACGAAAGCGUGGGGAGCAAACAGG
Molecule: ribosomal RNA, 253 nt
Filed under: uncultured bacterium
Lineage: Bacteria
Description: partial 16S ribosomal RNA
Rfam family: Bacterial small subunit ribosomal RNA
Source: RNAcentral